This is a non-coding RNA of Glossina morsitans morsitans, 77 nucleotides long. NCBI's taxonomy places the organism in Eukaryota, Metazoa, Arthropoda, Insecta, Diptera, Glossinidae. The record is from Rfam.
AUUACAAGACAGUCCUUCAAUUGGCAAUUUAGCUGUUUUUUUAUUGUUAGCUGCCUUCUGAAGGGCUUCCUUGUAAU